GUGAGGAAUAUUGCGCAAUGGAGGCAACUCUGACGCAGCCAUGCCGCGUGCAGGAAGAAGGCGCUACGCGUUGUAAACUGCUUUUAACCGGGAAGAAACCCCAGGACGUGUCCUGGGUUGACGGUACCGGAGGAAUAAGCACCGGCUAACUUCGUACCAGCAGCCGCGGUAAUACGAAGGGUGCAAGCGUUAUCCGGAUUCAUUGGGUUUAAAGGGUGCGUAGGCGGAGCGUUAAGUCAGUUGUGAAAUCCUGCAGCUUAACUGUAGACUUGCCAUUGAUACUGGCGCUCUUGAGUGCGCUUAAAGUGGGCGGAAUGUGCCGUGUAGCGGGGAAAUGCUUAGAUAUGGCACAGAACACCAAUUGCGAAGGCAGCUCACUAAGGCGAUACUGACGCUGAGGCACGAGAGCGUGGGGAUCGAACAGGAUUAGAAACCCGUGUAGUCC
RNAcentral lists this ribosomal RNA (445 nucleotides) under uncultured bacterium. RNAcentral describes it as "partial 16S ribosomal RNA". It matches the Rfam family "Bacterial small subunit ribosomal RNA", at positions 354 to 796 of the family's 1533-position model. The record is from RNAcentral.